Molecule: unclassified non-coding RNA, 712 nt
Filed under: Hevea brasiliensis (rubber tree)
Lineage: Eukaryota; Viridiplantae; Streptophyta; Magnoliopsida; Malpighiales; Euphorbiaceae
Source: RNAcentral
GUUUAUCUGAUGGAUCAUCGUCUGUCCCAGUUCCACAGGAAACUGGAAGUUCAUCCUCAUCUUCACAGAAACAAGUUAGCAGUAAUGCAUAUCCUAAUUCAACUCCAAAUCAUACAAUGCCAGCACGCCAGAGAUCAAUGAAGCGCAAUGGUGCUAACACAUCUUCCAACGGUGGCACUCCUCAGCCACCAGGAUCACAGCCUCUGAUAGGAGAAGUUCAUUUAAAUAACCCUUCUCCUAGGGAUCAUUCACAAAGGAAUUCACAAUCUCUAAUUGCUAAUAAUCACCCACAGCAGCAGCGCAAUUCAUUCAGGCGCAAUGGUGGGCCACAUUCACGAGGAGAUGGUUCUCACCAUCACAACUAUGGGGGCAGACGUGAUCAAGAUCGCACUAAUCAAGAUUGGAACACUCAGAGAAAUUUCAACGGCAGGGAUGCCCAUGUGCAGCCGCAGAGAGUUGUCCAAAGGUUUAUAAGGCAUCCGCCACCUCCACCACCACCCCCUACUACCACCCCCUUUAUUGGAUCCCCAGCAAUGCGGGCCUUAGGCAGUCCCAUUGGAUUCCAUGAAUUGUAUUAUGUUGCUGGUCUACCUCCAGACCCUCUCAGAGGCGUGCCUUUUGUUGCAGCACCAAUGCCGCCUCCUCUGUAUUUUACUUCUCCAGACCCUCAGUUGCAUUCUAAAAUAGUGAAUCAGAUAGAUUAUUAUUUCAG